RNAcentral lists this long non-coding RNA (482 nucleotides) under Capsicum annuum. RNAcentral describes it as "long non-coding RNA (CANN_LNC017595)". The record is from RNAcentral. Lineage: Eukaryota; Viridiplantae; Streptophyta; Magnoliopsida; Solanales; Solanaceae.
UUGUCUAUUGUUUUUUUGUUUUUUCUUAAACACCUGUAGAACUAAUAAUAGGAAUAAGAAACAGAAAAGCCAGUAAAACUUUCCAAAUUCCCAAAUAAUAAAUAAGAAAAUCAUGAUCUCACCCAAAAAAAAAAAAAACCUCAAAAAUUAAUGAUAUGAACGAAAAUUACCUCCAAUGUCAAUAGACAAAUGUGAAAUUUCUUCACAAGAUUGCUCACUCUUGUCUAAUUUCCCAUCAAUUCCCUUUCCCUCCAUAUCCAAUUCUUGUUAUCUUCUUGAAUUGAACAGUCAAUUAAGUGCCAAAAAAGAAUUUUGUAAGUGUCAAUACACGAUCAGCGAAGAAUAUAUAGAUGCCAUUUCUGUUUUUUGUCAAAAAAGGGCUGCUACUACUUCACUAGUCACUAGUCAAACAGGUCGUUAAGUCGCCCAAUUACAGAAUUAGAGAAAGGAAGGCGUGAAAAACAAAAUUCAUCUAAUUAUUU